AGUUGGUGGAGUGAUUUGUCUGGUUAAUUCCGUUAACGAACGAGACCUCGACCUACUAAAUAGUAGGCAUCAGCCUAGCUGGUGUGUUUACUUCUUAGAGGGACUCUCGGUGUGUAGCCGAUGGAAGUUCGAGGCAAUAACAGG
This 144-nucleotide ribosomal RNA is filed under the name Cercozoa sp. RNAcentral's name for it is "partial small subunit ribosomal RNA". It matches the Rfam family "Eukaryotic small subunit ribosomal RNA", at positions 1296 to 1460 of the family's 1831-position model. Lineage: Eukaryota; Cercozoa. The record is from RNAcentral.